Molecule: long non-coding RNA, 244 nt
Filed under: Capsicum annuum
Lineage: Eukaryota; Viridiplantae; Streptophyta; Magnoliopsida; Solanales; Solanaceae
Description: long non-coding RNA (CANN_LNC014346)
Source: RNAcentral
GUGUUUAUAUACUAUUAACAGAUUUCCAGUGAUCAAAUAUCUGAGAAAAUUUAAAGCUAGUCAGGAGCUCUUCGGAGGAAACUCGAGAAUGAAGCUCACAAAUGGAGAUAAACGAGAGAGAUGAAAGAGAAGACAGGAUAGAGAAAACAGUAAUAAUUUUCUUGUUAAUUCCCCAAAAUGAAUAUGUACGGGUUUUAUAUCUAAUACUUCCUCCGUUUCAUAAUAAUGAAUUGUUGAAUUUUGG